Molecule: non-coding RNA, 136 nt
Organism: Triticum aestivum (bread wheat)
Lineage: Eukaryota; Viridiplantae; Streptophyta; Magnoliopsida; Poales; Poaceae
Source: Rfam
UUUAUAUCUCCCUCCGUCCUAAAAUUCUUGUCUUAGAUUUGUCUAGAUACAAAUGUAUCUAAUACUAAAAUGUGGCUUGAUACAUCCGUAUUUAGACAAAUUUAAGACAAGAAUUUUGGGACGGAGAGAGUACUUG